UAUCGCGCUACUACACUAUCGAUGGUUCAAUGUUUCGAUAGUGGUCGAUAGCAUGGUUUACCCAUCAGUAAAGAAAAUUUGUGCGCAUUUAUUCAAAAGAAAGAAAUGGAUCGCUUCUUUCAAAAAGGCAAACGUCGCAGUUCUGCAGCGAAUUGCGAGUGCAGCAGCACCGAAAGCGAAAAAAGUUCUGCAACCGAAAAAUCGACAAAGAAGAAAAAUAAAAUUUCGGAUGUAUGGAAGUGUUUCCAAAAGUCUGAUGACAGGAAAUUCGCCAAGGGCCUCAAUUGCAACAAGGAGUAUAAGACCAGUGGAAACACUUCAAACUUGCAUGACCACCUAGCUAGGUUCCCCCCGAAUUUGAGGAGCCAUACUCCCGAUUCCGGCAUACCAGCUGCAGAUGCUUGUACUGACAGCGAAAACAUUGCAUCUACAAGCAGCAGUUGCAGAUCGAGUAUGCGGUCAAUGGAGUCGUGUUUUAAAAGAGCUGUUGUUUAUGACGCAAACUCCAAGCGAAAAAAAGAUAUUGAUAAAGUUUUAACAGAGAUGGUUGCAAAAGAUGUGCAGCCCUUUAGUAUCGUUGAGAACGAAGGCUUUAUCAAAUAUUCCCAAGUUAUGGAUCCACGAUACAAACUUCCCAGCCGGACACAUUUGAGAGACGUCAUGAUGGCCAAUCUCUUUAAAGAGAUUUUUGGAGGAGAUUUCUGACAUUGCUAUUACAUGCGACUUGUGGACAUCAAGUGCCAACUCGAGCUUGUUAACCGUCAAGGGCCAUUUCGUGCAUGAAUAUGAAAUCAAAACCGCAUCGUUAGCCACAAGGAAACUGAAAGAUGCAACCAAUCACUCAGCGCAAAAUAUUGCAGACACCUUAAAGGAUAUAUUGACAUCUUGGAAUGUCUUGGAUAAAACGGUUUGUAUUGUAACUGACAAUGCCAGCUCAAUGCUAAAAGCAUGUGAAAACUUAAAGAUCAGAAAUCUGCCAUGUUGCGCCCACACCAUUAAUUUGGUGGUCCAAGAUGGUUUAAAGCUUGACCAUGACGAUGUUUCAAAAGCUUUAUUUUCAAAAUGUAAAACCAUAGUGAGGUUUUUCAAACAAAGUUCUAUUGAGAACGAAAAAUUAAAAUUAGUUCAGGAAAAUUUCGCAGAGAAUUUCGAGAAUAUUAGCAAAAUGCUUUAUUGGAGUCGAUCAAAAAACGCCUAUAGGAUGGCCACGAUAUUAGAUCCGCGCUUCAAGAAAGAUGGAUUUCAGCUCAACUCAAAUGCUGAACAAGCUUCAGUCUUUCUUGAAAAUGAAUUGGUCAAUUUGGCAAAUAUUGAAAACGCAGUUAACUUGUUGAAGCAAACACUACAACAGACGACGCAUUUUUUGAUUUUUUGGACCAACGAUCCAUUAGUAAGAAAAGGAAUGUGCGAUCGGAUGCGAUCAUAAUCAAAAGGCAGUAUCUUGCCCCCCAAGAAAUGGAUCCUUUAUUAUGGAUUAAGGUCAACCAAACAGACUUUCCAUUACUAAAAUCAUUGAUAUUUAAAUAUUUAUGCAUCCCAGCUACUUCUGUGGAGUCGGAAAGGGUUUUUAGCAAGGCAGGGCAAAUUGUCUCUGAUAGACGAACAAGGCUCAAGGAAGAAAAUGUAAACG
This is a long non-coding RNA of Drosophila miranda, 1630 nucleotides long. RefSeq lists it as uncharacterized. The record is from RefSeq and is a predicted model, not a curated record. Lineage: Eukaryota; Metazoa; Arthropoda; Insecta; Diptera; Drosophilidae. The transcript has 3 exons.